ACCCAGGUGGUGAAAUUGGUAUACACAAGGGACUUAAAAUCCCUUAGCUUUUAUGCUGUACGAGUUCGAGUCUCGUCCUGGGUA
This 84-nucleotide transfer RNA is filed under the name endosymbiont of Euscepes postfasciatus. It matches the Rfam family "tRNA". Rfam says of the family: Transfer RNA (tRNA) molecules are approximately 80 nucleotides in length. Their secondary structure includes four short double-helical elements and three loops (D, anti-codon, and T loops). Lineage: Bacteria; Pseudomonadati; Pseudomonadota; Gammaproteobacteria. The record is from Rfam by way of RNAcentral.